AAACCAACAGGGAUUACCUCAGUAAUGGCGAAUGAAGCGGUAAUAGCUCAAAUUUGAAAGCUGCCAACAGGCCGCGUUGUAAUUUGUAGAAGAUGCUUUGGGUGUUGGCCUAGUCUAAGGCCCUUGGAAUAGGGCGUCAUAGAGGGUGAGAAUCCCGUAUGUGAUUAGUGCCAUCCCCCGUGUAAAGCUCUUUCGACGAGUCGAGUUGUUUGGGAAUGCAGCUCAAAAUGGGUGGUAUAUUUCAUCUAAAGCUAAAUAUUGGCCAGAGACCGAUAGCGCACAAGUAGAGUGAUCGAAAGAUGAAAAGCACUUUGGAAAGAGAGUUAAACAGUACGUGAAAUUGUUGAAAGGGAAGCGCUUGCGAUCAGACUUGCGGGCGGUUGAUCAUCCGAGGUUCUCCCCGGUGCACUCGACCGUCUUCAGGCCAGCAUCGGUUUCAGUGGUGGGAUAAAGGCUGUGAGAAUGUGGCUCUUCGGAGUGUUAUAGCUCACGGUGCAAUGCCGCCUACUGGGACCGAGGACCGCGCUUCGGCUAGGAUGCUGGCGUAAUGGUUGUAAGCGAC
RNAcentral lists this ribosomal RNA (562 nucleotides) under Mollisia amenticola. RNAcentral's name for it is "partial 28S ribosomal RNA". It matches the Rfam family "Eukaryotic large subunit ribosomal RNA", at positions 62 to 648 of the family's 3401-position model. The record is from RNAcentral. Lineage: Eukaryota; Fungi; Ascomycota; Leotiomycetes; Helotiales; Mollisiaceae.